UACGAAGGGUGCAAACGUUGCUCGGAAUCAUUGGGCGUAAAGCGCACGUAGGCGGCGCUGCAAGUCGGACGUGAAAUCCCUCGGCUCAACCGAGGACGUGCAUCCGAAACUGCAGUGCUCGAGUAUGGAAGAGGGUCGCGGAAUUCUCGGUGUAGAGGUGAAAUUCGUAGAUAUCGGGAGGAACACCAGUGGCGAAGGCGGCGACCUGGGCCAAUACUGACGCUGAGGUGCGAAAGCGUGGGGAGCAAACAGGAUUAGAUACCCGU
Molecule: ribosomal RNA, 266 nt
Filed under: uncultured prokaryote
Description: partial 16S ribosomal RNA
Rfam family: Bacterial small subunit ribosomal RNA
Source: RNAcentral